This 171-nucleotide small nuclear RNA is filed under the name Anopheles christyi. RNAcentral describes it as "U11 spliceosomal RNA". It matches the Rfam family "U11 spliceosomal RNA". The record is from RNAcentral. Lineage: Eukaryota; Metazoa; Arthropoda; Insecta; Diptera; Culicidae.
UAAAAGGGUGCUUGCCUUUCUACGCUUUUGUAUGGCACAUCCGUGCGGCGCCGAGCUGGUUGAGUCCAGCCAGGUGUCCGUACCGGUGGGGUAUGGCUAUCAAGACAUAUCCAGCACGUAAUUUUUGACCCUUGGAAGGCUGUUGACUCGCACUUUUGCGUCGACGCCUUC